GGAAAGAACCAUGGAAAGGAGAAAGGUAGGACGGCAUGGCUCGCAGAUUCGGCCACUAUACAUUCUUAUUUGUUCUUGCACCUAUCUCCUCACCCUCCCACUCUUCCUUUAUCUGCCAUCUCUCUUUCUCUUCCUUUCCCUUGCUAAUUUUCUAUCUGAUUGAACAUGGAUAGUUGACUCUGAGAUGUGCGAGCAGUAGAUAAAGACUUCCUGGUAGAGGCCCAGAGGAUAAGAUUGUGCUGUGAACCAUGCCUUUGUGAGAGGACCAAUACAAGAGGACCACAUGUCCAGUAUCCACCCUAAAAGUGUGGAGUGCAUCCGCCCUGAAUAGCUACACUGGUCUCCACCCGGUAAGAUUGAUCGUGUAGUUCCAUGCCUUCCUCUGCUUAUCUUAGUUUAAGGACACCUGUU
Aegilops tauschii subsp. strangulata is the source of this 411-nucleotide long non-coding RNA. RefSeq lists it as uncharacterized. The record is from RefSeq and is a predicted model, not a curated record. NCBI's taxonomy places the organism in Eukaryota, Viridiplantae, Streptophyta, Magnoliopsida, Poales, Poaceae.